This 468-nucleotide ribosomal RNA is filed under the name uncultured bacterium. RNAcentral describes it as "partial 16S ribosomal RNA". It matches the Rfam family "Bacterial small subunit ribosomal RNA", at positions 28 to 507 of the family's 1533-position model. The record is from RNAcentral.
GACGAACGCUGGCGGCGUGCUUAACACAUGCAAGUCGAACGGAAAGGCCCUGCUUUUGUGGGGUGCUCGAGUGGCGAACGGGUGAGUAACACGUGAGUAACCUGCCCUUGACUUUGGGAUAACUUCAGGAAACUGGGGCUAAUACCGGAUAGGAGCUCCUGCUGCAUGGUGGGGGUUGGAAAGUUUCGGCGGUUGGGGAUGGACUCGCGGCUUAUCAGCUUGUUGGUGGGGUAGUGGCUUACCAAGGCUUUGACGGGUAGCUGGCCUGAGAGGGUGACCGGCCAAAUUGGGACUGAGAUACGGCCCAGACUCCUACGGGAGGCAGCAGUGGGGAAUAUUGCACAAUGGGCGGAAGCCUGAAGCAGCAACGCCGCGUGCGGGAUGACGGCCUUCGGGUUGUAAACCGCUUUCGCCUGUGACGAAGCGUGAGUGACGGUAAUGGGUAAAGAAGCACCGGCUAACUACGUG